AACACAGCAAAUUGCCCUUUCAGGAUUAGAAAUCUACAGGCAACGCGACCAAGAUGAGUUUCUGUGUUUUGGAAAAUGACAUGGAACCCUUCUGCUGAGGGGACAGAUUCUAAUUCCCUCCAAAUUGAGUGUGAGUGCGAUUUUGAGGUGAAUUCAAUCAGAAUUCCAAGGUCUGUCUGUGGAAGGGGGGGAUGAAUCUGGAAACAGCCAGUUUCUUUGUGUCUAAAUCCAGCCAAAUACCACAAAGGACUCUUGAAUUUCUUUGGCUUUCUCAGAUUUCCCUUAUUUAUCGUGGUUUGUAAUGAAUUUUCUGAUGGGAGCUUUGGUUUUGAGGCUGCAAUAUGGAGUUCAGGGCACCGCAGGAAUGGUCUUUUUAAAACAGGGCACAGCUGUUGGCUUGCUCCAAUUCUGUCUUGCUUUCAAGGUUUUGGGUGCCUCAGCUGAUUUGUGGUUUCUUGAGCGGCAAUUUCCUACAUGUUUUCUGGGUCUGAGUUGGUUUUGCCUUCUUCCUUUCCAAAUUUUGUAUUCUGACGUAAUACAAACAAGAGUUUGGACAGAGUAGCCAUUAUGAAAUAAAAAACACAACAAAUAUGCGUUUGAAGCUUAUAUAUGUACAGGUAACACGAGCAAGGUAAGUUUUUGUGUUUUCGAAAGUAAAAUUGAACACUCUGGCUGAGGUGACAGAUAUUAAUUGCCUCCAAAACCGAGUUUCACUGCGAUUUUUUUGUUAAUUCAUUCAGAAACCAAAGACACUCAGUUGGGAGGUGUGGAUGUAUCUGGAAACAGCCGUUUACAUGGCCAUAAUUCAAGCCCAAUAUCCCUAAGAACUCCUGCAUUUCUUUGGCUUUUUUCUCAUUUUUCUUAUUCAUCAUGGUUUGUAAUGAAUUUUCUGAUGUGAGCUUUGGUUUUGAGGCUGGCAUAUUGAGUUCAGGGCACAAGAGGAAGGUUCUUUUUCAAUCAGGGCACAGCUGUUGGCUUGCUCCAAUUCUGGCUUGCUGUCAUUGUUUUGGGUGCCUCAGCCGAUUUGUGGUUU
Non-coding RNA from Oryctolagus cuniculus (rabbit), 1033 nucleotides. The record is from RefSeq and is a predicted model, not a curated record. NCBI's taxonomy places the organism in Eukaryota, Metazoa, Chordata, Mammalia, Lagomorpha, Leporidae.